This 467-nucleotide ribosomal RNA is filed under the name uncultured bacterium. Its description in RNAcentral is "partial 16S ribosomal RNA". The stretch from base 17 to 369 matches the Rfam family "Bacterial small subunit ribosomal RNA", at positions 44 to 395 of the family's 1533-position model. The record is from RNAcentral.
GACGAACGCUGGCGGCGUGCUUAACACAUGCAAGUCGAACGGAAAGGCCCUGCUUUUGUGGGGUGCUCGAGUGGCGAACGGGUGAGUAACACGUGAGUAACCUGCCCUUGACUUUCGGAUAACUUCAGGAAACUGGGGCUAAUCCCGGAUAGGAGCUCCUGCUGCAUGGUGGGGGUUGGAAAGUUUCGGCGGUUGGGGAUGGAUCCGCGGCUUAUCAGCUUGUUGGUGGGGUAGUGGCUUACCAAGGCUUUGACGGGUAGCCGGCCGGAGAGGGUGACCGGCCACAGAGGACUGCGGGAAGCGCCCGGGCGCAGUAGGGGGGAACGGGUGGGAAUUGUGGCCAAAUGGGCGGAGGGCUGGAGGAGCGCCCACGGGUGGGGGAGGCCGGCUUUGGGGGUGGAAACGGUUUUGGGCUGUAACAAGGGGUGAGGAAGGGAACUGGGGAAAAAAGCACGGGUAAAUUAGGG